AUGGAUUACAGCUAUGAUCUGACUUGCAGAGGGAAAUCCAAAGUGAUACUUCUUUUUUUUAUUUUGAGAUGGAGUUUCGCUCUUGUUACUCAGGUUAAAGUGAGAUGGCGUGAUCUCGGCUCACCGCAACCUCCGCCUCCCGGGUUGAAGCGAUUCUCCUGCCUCAGCCUCCCGAGUAGCUGGGACUACAGAUCCGGUUCAGGUCUAAGUCGCCUGCCAGGACCCCAUCUCCAGGAAACGUUGUCUCUCUGCCACCAUCACUCCCCGUCACUCUUCCAACGACCCCGGCACACCUCCCAUAGAUGCGAAAUAUGCCGAUCCCCCGGAGCAAAGAUGACCCGGAGGACAGGGGAACGACCUUCCCACCCGCACGACUGGUCUGCAAGUCCGCAUGGAAACCAACGGAAACGGAAAUUCACCAUCGCGCUGACUCGCCGGAGGGAAACAAGAAGGGAGAAAAAAGAAACCUGCAGGUGGACGACUUUCAGUGGAGAGCCGGAAGAGUCGUGA
This 510-nucleotide long non-coding RNA is filed under the name Callithrix jacchus (white-tufted-ear marmoset). RNAcentral describes it as "lncRNA (ENSCJAG00000072467.1)". Lineage: Eukaryota; Metazoa; Chordata; Mammalia; Primates; Cebidae. The record is from RNAcentral.